Molecule: ribosomal RNA, 467 nt
Filed under: uncultured Rhodoferax sp.
Lineage: Bacteria; Pseudomonadati; Pseudomonadota; Betaproteobacteria; Burkholderiales; Comamonadaceae
Description: bacterial SSU rRNA
Rfam family: Bacterial small subunit ribosomal RNA
Source: RNAcentral
UUCCUACGGGGGGCUGCAGUGGGGAAUUUUGGACAAUGGGCGCAAGCCUGAUCCAGCCAUGCCGCGUGCAGGAUGAAGGCCUUCGGGUUGUAAACUGCUUUUGUACGGAACGAAAAGGCUCUGGUUAAUACCUGGGGCUCAUGACGGUACCGUAAGAAUAAGCACCGGCUAACUACGUGCCAGCAGCCGCGGUAAUACGUAGGGUGCAAGCGUUAAUCGGAAUUACUGGGCGUAAAGCGUGCGCAGGCGGUUAUAUAAGACAGAGGUGAAAUCCCCGGGCUCAACCUGGGAACUGCCUUUGUGACUGUAUAGCUAGAGUACGGCAGAGGGGGAUGGAAUUCCGCGUGUAGCAGUGAAAUGCGUAGAUAUGCGGAGGAACACCGAUGGCGAAGGCAAUCCCCUGGGCCUGUACUGACGCUCAUGCACGAAAGCGUGGGGAGCAAACAGGAUUAGAUACCCCAGUAGUC